GACGAACCGUGCGAACGUUGUUCGGAAUCACUGGGCUUAAAGGGCGCGUAGGCGGCUUGCCAAGUCAGGGGUGAAAUCCAGCAGCUUAACUGUUGAAGUGCCUUUGAUACUGGCGAGCUCGAGGGAGGUAGGGGUCUGUGGAACUUCUGGUGGAGCGGUGAAAUGCGUUGAUAUCAGAAGGAACGCCGGUGGCGAAAGCGACGGACUGGACCUCCUCUGACGCUGAGGCGCGAAAGCUAGGGGAGCAAACGGG
RNAcentral lists this ribosomal RNA (253 nucleotides) under uncultured bacterium. RNAcentral describes it as "partial 16S ribosomal RNA". It matches the Rfam family "Bacterial small subunit ribosomal RNA", at positions 524 to 776 of the family's 1533-position model. The record is from RNAcentral.